GAUUGAACGCUGGCGGUAUGCUUAACACAUGCAAGUCGAACGGAAACGAUACUAGCUUGCUAGUAGGCGUCGAGUGGCGGACGGGUGAGUAACGCGUAGGAAUCUGCCUGAUAGUGGGGGAUAGCCCGAAGAAAUUCGGAUUAAUACCGCAUAAUCUAUUCGUAGUAAAGUGGGGGACUUUCGAGCCUCACGCUAUCAGAUGAGCCUGCGUAAGAUUAGCUUGUUGGUAGGGUAAAAGCCUACCAAGGCGACGAUCUUUAGCUGGUCUGAGAGGAUGAUCAGCCACAUCGGGACUGAGACACGGCCCGAACUCCUACGGGAGGCAGCAGUGGGGAAUAUUGGACAAUGGGGGCAACCCUGAUCCAGCAAUACCGCGUGUGUGAAGAAGGCCUGAGGGUUGUAAAGCACUUUCAAUUGUGAAGAAAAGUUAGCGGUUAAUAACCGUUAGCCUUGACGUUAACUUUAGAAGAAGCACCGGCUAACUCCGUGCCAGCAGCCGCGGUAAUACGGAGGGUGCAAGCGUUAAUCGGAAUUACUGGGCGUAAAGCGUGCGUAGGCGGUUUAUUAAGUCAGAUGUGAAAGCCCCGGGCUUAACCUGGGAACUGCAUUUGAAACUGGUCAACUAGAGUAUGGUAGAGGAAAGUGGAAUUUCUGGUGUAGCGGUGAAAUGCGUAGAUAUCAGAAGGAACAUCAAUGGCGAAGGCAGCUUUCUGGACCAAUACUGACGCUGAGGUACGAAAGCGUGGGUAGCAAACAGGAUUAGAUACCCUGGUAGUCCACGCCGUAAACGAUGAUAACUAGCCGUUGGGGGGAUUUACCCUUUAGUGGCGAAGCUAACGCGUUAAGUUAUCCGCCUGGGGAGUACGGCCGCAAGGUUAAAACUCAAAGGAAUUGACGGGGACCCGCACAAGCGGUGGAGCAUGUGGUUUAAUUCGAUGCAACGCGAAGAACCUUACCUGGUCUUGACAUCCUGCGAACUUUCUAGAAAUAGAUUGGUGCCUUCGGGAACGCAGUGACAGGUGCUGCAUGGCUGUCGUCAGCUCGUGUCGUGAGAUGUUGGGUUAAGUCCCGUAACGAGCGCAACCCCUAUCCUUAUUUGCCAGCACAUCAUGGUGGGAACUAUAAGGAGACUGCCGGUGAUAAACCGGAGGAAGGCGGGGACGACGUCAAGUCAUCAUGGCCCUUACGACCAGGGCUACACACGUGCUACAAUGGGAAGGACAAAGAGCCGCGAAGCCGCGAGGUGUAGCUAAUCUCAUAAACCUUUUCGUAGUCCGGAUUGGAGUCUGCAACUCGACUCCAUGAAGUCGGAAUCGCUAGUAAUCGUAGAUCAGAAUGCUACGGUGAAUACGUUCCCGGGUCUUGUACUCACCGC
RNAcentral lists this ribosomal RNA (1375 nucleotides) under uncultured bacterium. RNAcentral's name for it is "bacterial SSU rRNA". It matches the Rfam family "Bacterial small subunit ribosomal RNA", at positions 27 to 1393 of the family's 1533-position model. The record is from RNAcentral.